Molecule: ribosomal RNA, 384 nt
Filed under: uncultured eukaryote
Lineage: Eukaryota
Description: SSU rRNA
Rfam family: Eukaryotic small subunit ribosomal RNA
Source: RNAcentral
AGCUCUGUAAGCGUAUACCAAAGUUGUUGCAGUUAAAACGCUCGUAGUCGGAUUUUGGCGAUUCCGGGUGAGUACGCGUCGUGCGAACGCACUGCGGGGAUUGCUUUUGUGGGAUGAGCAGGAUGAGGGCUACUUAAUUGUGGUAACGUCCUUGCGCAACCACUCUUUACUGUGAGAAAAUCAGAGUGCUCAAAGCAGGCAUUUGCCGUGAAUGUAUUAGCAUGGAAUAAUAGAAUAGGACUUUGUCCUAUUUUGUUGGUUUGUUGGGGCGAAGUAAUGAUUAAGAGGGACAGUUGGGGGCAUUUGUAUUUCGGCGUCAGAGGUGAAAUUCUUAGAUUGCCGAAAGACAAACUGCUGCGAAAGCGUCUGCCAAGGAUGUUUUCA